RNAcentral lists this ribosomal RNA (529 nucleotides) under uncultured Anaplasma sp. RNAcentral describes it as "bacterial SSU rRNA". It matches the Rfam family "Bacterial small subunit ribosomal RNA", at positions 75 to 636 of the family's 1533-position model. Lineage: Bacteria; Pseudomonadati; Pseudomonadota; Alphaproteobacteria; Rickettsiales; Anaplasmataceae. The record is from RNAcentral.
GUAGCUUGCUAUGAGAACAGUUAGUGGCAGACGGGUGAGUAAUGCAUAGGAAUCUACCUAGUAGUAUAGGAUAGCCACUAGAAGUGGUGGGUAAUACUGUAUAAUCCCUGCGGGGGAAAGAUUUAUCGCUACAUGAUGAGCCUAUGUUAGAUUAGCUAGUUGGUGGGGUAAUGGCCUACCAAGGCAGUGAUCUAUAGCUGGUCUGAGAGGAUGAUCAGCCACACUGGAACUGAGACACGGUCCAGACUCCUACGGGAGGCAGCAGUGGGGAAUAUUGGACAAUGGGCGCAAGCCUGAUCCAGCUAUGCCGCGUGAGUGAGGAAGGCCUUAGGGUUGUAAAACUCUUUCAGUGGGGAAGAUAAUGACGGUACCCACAGAAGAAGUCCCGGCAAACUCCGUGCCAGCAGCCGCGGUAAUACGGAGGGGGCAAGCGUUGUUCGGAAUUAUUGGGCGUAAAGGGCAUGUAGGUGGUUUGGUUAGUUAAAGGUGAAAUGCCAGGGCUUAACCCUGGAGCUGCUUUUAAUACUGC